GUGCUUGCUUUGGCAGCACAUAUACUAAAAUUGGAACAAUACAGAGAAGAUUAUCAUGGCCUCUGCGCGAGGAUGACACACAAAUUCGUGAAGUGUUCCAUAAAAAA
Molecule: small nuclear RNA, 107 nt
Filed under: Castor canadensis (American beaver)
Lineage: Eukaryota; Metazoa; Chordata; Mammalia; Rodentia; Castoridae
Source: RNAcentral